RNAcentral lists this non-coding RNA (28 nucleotides) under Rattus norvegicus (Norway rat). The record is from RNAcentral. Lineage: Eukaryota; Metazoa; Chordata; Mammalia; Rodentia; Muridae.
UCUGACUGGAUCUCUAUUUUUGGGUUGC